GUGUGGGCCCUGGGCCAGGAGCAUCAGUAUCCACCCUGGGUCCUUGUCAGAAGGGCAAAUCCUUGCACCUCACCCCAGCCCUACUGAAUUAGAAACUGGGGCCCAGAAAUGCAUGUGUUAAACGAUGCUCCCAGUGAUUCAGAUGCCCACUCACAUUGGAGAAGCUCUGGGUGGGGCAAGCUCCUCAGUUUACAAAGAAGCGGAAAGAGACCCAGAGAAGAGAAUGGACUUAUCUGAGCCCACGGAGCAAAAUACUGAUGGCGAGAGCAAGGUUCCCCCACCCCGGGCCCACCCAGAUAAUAGCCUAGGGAGGCCAAGGAAUACAAUGGCCCAUCCCACCUACUAGCUCUUCCUCCCCAUGCUGCUUUGCAGCCGCUGCCCCCCUACACCCAGGAGCGUGCCAAGCAAUGUCUGCCCAGCCUUCCCGAAGGCUCCAGAAAGGGGGCUGGAGAGGGAAGCCCCAAAGCUGUCAGUGAGUGGCAGCUCCAGCAGCUAUGGGAGCCCCACAGCUCUGGUCUCCAGGAGAUGUCCUGCUGCCAUCUGAGCAAGGCUGGCUGGACAUGGGGCACCCAGGGCCCUUCCCUGCCCCAGACAAUUCGGAAUCCAAUGCCUUGGGAAAGCUUUAUUCCCGAUUCCAGAACAAGACUCUGCACACAGAAGUCGACAAUCAGUUGAAGAUUUUGGAGGCCUUGGCUUCGAUGAAGAUCUGCUGCUCCUGGUGGAACUCUACAGCUUUACUGGGGGGCACGAGGCUGAUGGAGAUAUUGCCCUGGCCUGUGGCGUUGUGUCGGAAGUGGACGCUGAAGGUCCCGUUGCCGUGGUCCACAAUCUUCCCCGUGACGAGCAGGUUCAGAGCCACCGUCUUGAUGUUGGAGUAGAAGUCACCCCAGCCAAAGAUUUUCUUCACCUUGGCCGAAGUUUAGGUUUUGGCAGAAGGAAUAAGAGGAGCUCAGGAGUGAAUUCCACACUCAGGAUGGCCAAGAUAUGGAAGGUCAAAAACUCUGAGGAUCACCGAUGAUGACACACCCCGACACCGUUGCUCCAAGAGGCAGGAGUUCUUAUUAUGCCCGUUCUACAGAUGAGGCCACCAGGACUCAAAGGUUACAUCCCUAGAAGGCUAAGUCACAGAGGGUCAGCCCUCCGAUUCACCCCUCACUUCUGGCCUCAUGGACCACAUAGGUCCGUUUAUGGAGGUUCUGUCCAAGCUCCGUCCCCACCUGGAAUCUUCUGCCAAACUGCCAAGGCUUGGCCAGCAUCUGCUGGAUCAGCCAUGGCAACAGGCAACACCUGGGAAGGCCUCCUGGAGGAGCUGUGGGGAGGGCCAGCAGGACAGCGUGACCCACCUCAGACACGGGACAGCUCAGGAGGGCAUCAGGGAGUAGACAAGGUUUCCUGAGGGCAGCCGCCUGGUGUGUGCUUACUCAGCUUCUAAAGAGAGUACUCCCCCCUAGGUGUCUGCAUUAGAGCCCCAGGGGCACCAGCU
This is a long non-coding RNA of Canis lupus familiaris (dog), 1483 nucleotides long. RefSeq lists it as uncharacterized. The transcript has 3 exons. The record is from RefSeq and is a predicted model, not a curated record. NCBI's taxonomy places the organism in Eukaryota, Metazoa, Chordata, Mammalia, Carnivora, Canidae.